Homo sapiens (human) is the source of this 561-nucleotide long non-coding RNA. Lineage: Eukaryota; Metazoa; Chordata; Mammalia; Primates; Hominidae. The record is from Ensembl.
GCCACACGCUUGUUUUGUUAAGGAGAGUCCACCUAUCACCAGGAGGGACAGAAGUCAGCUCAGGAAGGGAGACCCUGCCAGGGGACUCAGCCAUGAGACUUUGCAAUUAUAAGCUAUUCCUUAAGCCACAGAAAGAAAUGAAGAAAGGAAGAGGGGAAGACAGAAAGAAAACAAUUAUCACUUGGUUUAGUGACCACGUGUGUUGAGGACAGGAAUAGAAAAAAGAAGGUACAUGUCUAAGAAGGAUUUAAAAAUGUCAAGGAAAGAACAAUGAGAUGAGAAAGAUUAAAGUCAGAGUCUUUAUUUGCUGCACCCAGGGAGAAGCCAUGACCUUGAGCAAGGAUGCGCUUUUCAGCCAGGACACUUAACAAAGAGGGCUGACAGCUGUCAGCACUUCCAGAAGCUGGUCUUUCAUUGAAGCCAUUAAAUUUCUGCCAAAUUCCAGGAAGACCUGGAAUAUGACAGUUUAUUAGAGAGUACCCUGGAAAAAAUAGCCAUGAAAGUGAAAAAAAGGAAGCAAGCUUGGACAGAAGAAAAAACUGGACUGAAAUACAAUCUCAG